CCUACGGGAGGCAGCAGUGGGGAAUAUUGCACAAUGGGGGAAACCCUGAUGCAGUGACGCCGCGUGAGUGAAGAAGUAAUUCGUUAUGUAAAGCUCUAUCAGCAGGGAAGAAAAUGACGGUACCUGAGUAAGAAGCCCCGGCUAACUACGUGCCAGCAGCCGCGGUAAGACGUAGGGGGCAAGCGUUAUCUGGAUUUACUGGGGGUAAAGGGAGCGUAGACGGCAGUGCAAGUCUGGAGUGAAAGGCGGGGGCUCAACCCCCGGACUGCUCUGGAAACUGUACGGCUGGAGUGCAGGAGAGGUAAGUGGAAUUCCUAGUGUAGCGGUGAAAUGCGUAGAUAUUAGGAGGAACACCAGUGGCGAAGGCGGCUUACUGGACUGUAACUGACGUUGAGGCGCGAAAGCGUGGGGAGCAAACAGGAUUAGAUACCCUUGUAGUC
This 440-nucleotide ribosomal RNA is filed under the name uncultured bacterium. RNAcentral describes it as "partial 16S ribosomal RNA". It matches the Rfam family "Bacterial small subunit ribosomal RNA", at positions 338 to 795 of the family's 1533-position model. The record is from RNAcentral.